This 783-nucleotide ribosomal RNA is filed under the name uncultured bacterium. RNAcentral's name for it is "bacterial SSU rRNA". It matches the Rfam family "Bacterial small subunit ribosomal RNA", at positions 28 to 809 of the family's 1533-position model. The record is from RNAcentral.
GAUGAACGCUGGCGGCGUGCUUAACACAUGCAAGUCGAACGAAGCACUUUAUUUGAUUUCCUUCGGGACUGAUUAUUUUGUGACUGAGUGGCGGACGGGUGAGUAACGCGUGGGUAACCUGCCUUGUACAGGGGGAUAACAGUUGGAAACGGCUGCUAAUACCGCAUAAGCGCACAGCAUCGCAUGAUGCUGUGUGAAAAACUCCGGUGGUAUAAGAUGGACCCGCGUUGGAUUAGCUAGUUGGUGAGGUAACGGCCCACCAAGGCGACGAUCCAUAGCCGACCUGAGAGGGUGACCGGCCACAUUGGGACUGAGACACGGCCCAAACUCCUACGGGAGGCAGCAGUGGGGAAUAUUGCACAAUGGGCGAAAGCCUGAUGCAGCGACGCCGCGUGAGCGAAGAAGUAUUUCGGUAUGUAAAGCUCUAUCAGCAGGGAAGAUAAUGACGGUACCUGACUAAGAAGCACCGGCUAAAUACGUGCCAGCAGCCGCGGUAAUACGUAUGGUGCAAGCGUUAUCCGGAUUUACUGGGUGUAAAGGGAGCGCAGGCGGUGCGGCAAGUCUGAUGUGAAAGCCCGGGGCUCAACCCCGGUACUGCAUUGGAAACUGUCGUACUAGAGUGUCGGAGGGGUAAGCGGAAUUCCUAGUGUAGCGGUGAAAUGCGUAGAUAUUAGGAGGAACACCAGUGGCGAAGGCGGCUUACUGGACGAUAACUGACGCUGAGGCUCGAAAGCGUGGGGAGCAAACAGGAUUAGAUACCCUGGUAGUCCACGCCGUAAACGA